ACGAACGCUGGCGGCGUGCUUAACACAUGCCAGUCGAACGGUGAUGCUCCAGCUUGCUGGAGUGGAUCAGUGGCGAACGGGUGAGUAACACGUGAGCAACCUGCCCCAGACUCUGGAAUAAGCGCUGGAAACGGCGUCUAAUACUGGAUACGAAACUGGCCCGCAUGGGCAUGGUUUGGAAAGUUUUUCGGUUUGGGAUGGGCUCGCGGCCUAUCAGCUUGUUGGUGAGGUAAUGGCUCACCAAGGCGACGACGGGUAGCCGGCCUGAGAGGGCGACCGGCCACACUGGGACUGAGACACGGCCCAGACUCCUACGGGAGGCAGCAGUGGGGAAUAUUGCACAAUGGGCGAAAGCCUGAUGCAGCGACGCCGCGUGAGGGAUGACGGCCUUCGGGUUGUAAACCUCUUUCAGCAGGGAAGAAGCGAAAGUGACGGUACCUGCAGAAGAAGCACCGGCUAACUACGUG
Molecule: ribosomal RNA, 467 nt
Filed under: uncultured bacterium
Lineage: Bacteria
Description: partial 16S ribosomal RNA
Rfam family: Bacterial small subunit ribosomal RNA
Source: RNAcentral